ACACCGGCAGCUCUAGUGGUAGCAAUUUUUAAUGGGCCUAAAGCGUCCGUAGCCGGUUUAAUAAGUCUCUGGUGAAAUCCUGCAGCUUAACUGUGGGAAUUGCUGGAGAUACUAUUAGACUUGAGAUCGGGAGAGGUUAGAGGUACUCCCAGGGUAGAGGUGAAAUUCUGUAAUCCUGGGAGGACCGCCUGUUGCGAAGGCGUCUAACUGGAACGAUUCUGACGGUGAGGGACGAAAGUUAGGGGCGCGAACCGGAUUAGAUACCCGGGUAGUCCUAACUGUAAACGAUGCGGACUUGGUGUUGGGGUGGCUUUGAGCUGCUCCAGUGCCGAAGGGAAGCUGUUAAGUCCGCCGCCUGGGAAGUACGGUCGCAAGACUGAAACUCAAAUGAAUUGGCGGGG
This 401-nucleotide ribosomal RNA is filed under the name uncultured bacterium. Its description in RNAcentral is "partial 16S ribosomal RNA". It matches the Rfam family "Archaeal small subunit ribosomal RNA", at positions 473 to 873 of the family's 1478-position model. The record is from RNAcentral.